Molecule: RNase P RNA, 387 nt
Filed under: Hoeflea marina
Lineage: Bacteria; Pseudomonadati; Pseudomonadota; Alphaproteobacteria; Hyphomicrobiales; Rhizobiaceae
Description: Bacterial RNase P class A
Rfam family: Bacterial RNase P class A
About the family: Ribonuclease P (RNase P) is a ubiquitous endoribonuclease, found in archaea, bacteria and eukarya as well as chloroplasts and mitochondria. Its best characterised activity is the generation of mature 5'-ends of tRNAs by cleaving the 5'-leader elements of precursor-tRNAs. Cellular RNase Ps are ribonucleoproteins.
Source: Rfam by way of RNAcentral
CCAGUCGGCCGGGCAGCCGCGCUUCGCUAGGGUCGAAAGACUGCGAGGCGAGGAAAGUCCGGGCUCCACGGAAACACGGUGCCGGUUAAUGGCCGGCGGGGGCGACCCCAGGGAAAGUGCCACAGAAAGCAAACCGCCCGCCUCUGGCGGGUAAGGGUGAAAGGGUGGGGUAAGAGCCCACCGCGCGACCGGCAACGGAAGCGGCACGGUAAACCCCACCGGGAGCAAGACCGAAUAGGGAUGACGCGGCGAAAGCCGGCCGGUUUCCAGGCCAGUCAUCCGGGUAGGUUGCUUGAGGCGUGUUGCAAGACACGUCCCAGAGGAAUGGCUGCCACGUUCCGCGCAAGCGGGGCCAUACAGAACCCGGCUUACAGGCCGGCUGGCAUU